RNAcentral lists this transfer RNA (70 nucleotides) under Plethodon neomexicanus (Jemez Mountains salamander). RNAcentral describes it as "tRNA-His". It matches the Rfam family "tRNA". Rfam says of the family: Transfer RNA (tRNA) molecules are approximately 80 nucleotides in length. Their secondary structure includes four short double-helical elements and three loops (D, anti-codon, and T loops). Lineage: Eukaryota; Metazoa; Chordata; Amphibia; Caudata; Plethodontidae. The record is from RNAcentral.
UGUAUAUAUAAUUUAAUUAAAAUACUAGGCUGUGAUCCUAGAAAUGAAAGUUAAACCCUUUCUAUAAACC